GUAUUUCAAAUGUUGAAAUUUUCCAAAUAUUUCAAGUAAAAUUCCUAAAAAAAAAAAAACUUUUAAAAAAAGUUCUGUCAGUUGUGAAUUCAAGUGCAAGAAUAAAAUUUUGGUUCUUACCUUCUGCCUAUGAACAAACAAAUUCUAAAUCAGCAUUGUAGAUGAAUCAUGAAGCUGAUGUUGUACACACAUAACAUAAUUUAUUCAAAUCUAUUAAAAUUAUAUCUUCAUUGAUUUAUUUAUGCGCCAAAAUGCUAUGCAGUAUUUAUCCUCCUGUUGGAAUUUGAAAUAGGGAAAAAAAUGUAUCAAAAUCCUUUUAUUUUAACUCAUAAUGAAAGAUAUACCUAUAUAAUUUUUUUCAUAUAACUUUCCUGCAACUGGCUUCUAAAUUACAGGUCACUUUUACAGCUUCAGUAAAAUGCUUGAUAUUUAUGUUAAAGAGGAGCUUCUUUGUAGCCUCCUAACUUGCAUUUGUGACCACAUCUCAAUGAUACUGGUUUAAUUUUAGACAGAUAUUAAGAAGAUAACUGAAUUAGUGCAGUUAAACUUAAUAUCGUUUCAGAGGAAAAUAUAAUUUUUUUUUACAAAAGUAUAAUCACUAUACUCUAGAACUGGCUCCAUGUAUACAAUGCAUGUUUCUGAUAUUUGUACAGAGAACUAAAUUUGCUAUAUUGAUUAUUAGUAGCACUUCCAUGUCAUUGAUGAUUCAAUUCAUUGUGCUACAUUACCUAACCUGAGAUAUAUGAAGACAUAAAUUUAAAAAGUGUGAAACAGCUCAUUGUUUAUCAUACUCAGUUCUGUUGAAAAGCAAAUGACAGAUAUUCAUCUUGCCUUUUAAUAUUGCAGUGCAAAUAUAACUUUGCAUUAAAAUGAAGAUGUUGGAGUUAGAGCCUACUCUGAACUGAGUUUCUCUAAAUUCUCAAUUUUUUUUUUUUCUAAAUAAACUAUUAAAGCAGUCACUAUUAUUAUUAUAAGUGUUAAGGAUUAGCUGGAACGGUAAUAUCAGUCUAAAUACCUUGUGGUAUUUAGUUAUGUCUUUGCUUUACUGAGAUUGGAAAACCCUACAAUUGUGGGCUUGUGCCAAUGUAAGAAAUUGUACAAGCAAAUAUACUGAUAUGGAUUGAAAACAAUACUUGCUUUAUCUUUUUAAAACAUUUAAACUUCGUAAUAUAUAUCUAAGCUACCAUGCUGAAUUAUGGAACUUGAAUUUAAAACACUGAGUUGAUGCAGGUACAGUGUUAGAUAUGUUAGUGUACCUGGUUAAACACCAGAUCAAUUUCAAUUAGACCAAUUUAACAUUUCAUUUGAAGCACCAGUAAUAUGCUGAAGAUCACUGAAUGAUCUCUUCUCUUUGCUCUUAUAAGAUUUUGACCUAAACAACAAAAGUCACUAAUAUAGGUUAACAUUAUCCUGCAGUAAUGAACUCUUUGUGAAUCAAAUCUGCAACCAUGUUUUGAAUCUAGAUUGGAGCCAUUUCAUGUGAUUAGGGAAAAGCAGAAAUACAACUUGUGUGUGUGUGUGUGUGUGUGUGUAUGUGUGUGCGUGUGUCUUCAUAUAUACACAUAUAUAUUUGAAGCAUUGUUUACGUAAAUUAUUAUUAUUCACAGAAUAAGACAAAAUUACUCCCACCUACACAUUUAUAUUUCUCCAGAAAAAUGAGCUACUUAUUCUGUGUACCAUUUUUUAAUAGUCAGCAGUGCUGUAAGGUCACUUGCAUCUUUCCAAAAUGACAUUCCUGGAGAAACAAUAUAUUCAAUUUGAAAAGAAAAAAAAUUAUUUUUUAAAAAUGCUGUUUUUAACCUGAAAAUAAACUAUUUCAGCAAUAAAAUAUUUUAUUUGGAUA
This 1843-nucleotide long non-coding RNA is filed under the name Octopus vulgaris (common octopus). Lineage: Eukaryota; Metazoa; Mollusca; Cephalopoda; Octopoda; Octopodidae. The record is from RNAcentral.